AGAGGUGCCCAAAUGUUUGGACAAAGAGACAAGCUGUCAGAACUGUCUUAAGGAAUAGGAGGUUUUUGAUUGGAAGGUCUCCACCUUUCUUUCUAUGAAUAGGACAUGCAUCCCAAGUGCAGAUGGUUCAACACAUAUCACGCCUUACAUGACAGAGACCAUCACACGUGAUAGCAGGAGAUUCGAAAAGAGAGAGAGAGAAUGACUCACCUAACCUGAUCCAGUUAAAGUUCACUUGAGAACCAACCUCUUAGAAAUUGACUACAAGAGACCUCACAUCCAGCUGAUAAUCCUUCACUUUAUAAGGCUUUCACUUCAACUACAAAGCAUCAACUGCAUUUAAGAAACUACAGGCUUGCCACAAAAGAGACUAAGGCUGUAAGAAGCCAUCUUGUGUGUGUGAGACACAAUAGCAGCACACAGUUCUCAGUGGAAACAGCCAUGAACCCCCCAAGAAGAACCCUCAGACAUCAGAGGGGUUUUCUCUCUGCCACUGGGAGUCAAAGAACAAGGGAUUAAGAAAUCAACUGCUGUUCUGCUGAAAGAAUCCAGGCAAUCUUCGAGUGUUUUAAACGCAGAGCUAGUGGGAACAAGAAAUCUUCUCUCUCUCCCAGAACCUGCUUGGUCUGCAGAGCCCACCCAAAAAGACAAAUACCGACUAAUCAACUGCAAAAGCCAUUGAAACUAAGGAUCAACUCCUACCAACACCACAAAAAGACAACAGGAAUCAAGGACAAGCAGGAUAAAGGCUGAGAAGAGGGAAGAAUGAUGAAAAAGGGAAAGGAACACAGAAAGUGGGCUUAUUUUAUUUUCCAACUAUAUAUUUUUUUUACUAACAUUGAUGAUGUCCCUGGUUUUCCAUGUUAAAAAGUAACCUCUUGAGCUGCCUUUUAAAAGGAAGGAGGACUUGCAUUUAUAUAAUGCUUUUCAUGGCAACUGGACAUUUCAAAGCCCUUUACAGCCACUGAAGUACUUUUUGAAGUGUUAUCGCUGCUGUAAUGUUUAAUAAAUUUAAUGUUAAUAACUAUUCUCCCAACAGCCCUGGAACCAUCUGGCAGGUGCUUCAUGCACACAAUCCCUUUGGGGUAUUUCUUGUUAUUCCUCAGUUAGGUGUAACCUGGCUUCAUUGUCAUUUGUAUUUAGAGCCACUGCUUCAAUAACCUUUAGAGAAUGUUUUGUAAGUGUAUGUUUGUUAAGUCAAUUAGGCCCCAAAGGGACAUUCAUAGCUGUCAGAAAGUCACUAGUAUAGUUUUCCAGUGCUAUUUAUGAGCACACAACAUAAUGACUUAAUUCAGUUCAAAACAUUAUUGCAUUACUUGUGUCUGAAAUCUUAUAAUAACAUGAUAUGCAGCUCUCCUAGUGAUGUACAAUUCUCCCAAUGAUGUAAUACAGAUCUGCUACGGUUGUUGUGUUCUAUCUU
Molecule: long non-coding RNA, 1420 nt
Organism: Carcharodon carcharias (great white shark)
Lineage: Eukaryota; Metazoa; Chordata; Chondrichthyes; Lamniformes; Lamnidae
Exons: 3
Source: RefSeq, a predicted model, not a curated record